This 253-nucleotide ribosomal RNA is filed under the name uncultured bacterium. RNAcentral describes it as "partial 16S ribosomal RNA". It matches the Rfam family "Bacterial small subunit ribosomal RNA", at positions 524 to 776 of the family's 1533-position model. The record is from RNAcentral.
UACGAAGGGGGCUAGCGUUGCUCGGAAUCACUGGGCGUAAAGCGCACGUAGGCGGAUUGUUAAGUCAGGGGUGAAAUCCUUGAGCUCAACUCCAGAACUGCCUUUGAUACUGGCGAUCUCGAGUCCGGGAGAGGUGAGUGGAACUGCGAGUGUAGAGGUGAAAUUCGUAGAUAUUCGCAAGAACACCAGUGGCGAAGGCGGCUCACUGGCCCGGUACUGACGCUGAGGUGCGAAAGCGUGGGGAGCAAACAGG